RNAcentral lists this small nuclear RNA (141 nucleotides) under Myotis davidii. Its description in RNAcentral is "U12 minor spliceosomal RNA". It matches the Rfam family "U12 minor spliceosomal RNA". From Rfam's summary of the family: Although the U12 sequence is very divergent from that of U2, the two are functionally analogous. The record is from Rfam by way of RNAcentral. Lineage: Eukaryota; Metazoa; Chordata; Mammalia; Chiroptera; Vespertilionidae.
AUGCCUUAAACUUAUAAAUAAGAAAAAUAAUGAUUUGGUAGAUGCCUGAAUCCUUACUGCUAUUGUGAGAUGAAUUUGGGGGCAGGUUUGCCCCUAAGGUGAUCCCCCUACUUUGCAGAAUGGCAAACUAAUUCAGGCUUG